RNAcentral lists this long non-coding RNA (1077 nucleotides) under Homo sapiens (human). RNAcentral's name for it is "MIR4307 host gene". Lineage: Eukaryota; Metazoa; Chordata; Mammalia; Primates; Hominidae. The record is from RNAcentral.
AGAGUCCACAUAUGUUCGGGGGAGGGACCCCAGAAGGCGGCUGACAGUAUUCCUUUAGCCAGAAAUCCCUUCAGGGAAGAGAAAGGUGCUCCCCUUUGCCUGCUUUUAUACUACAGACUGUUUCCAACUCCAGCUAGAAGUGACUAUUGCCGAUUAUGCUAAUCAGUGGCGACAAGCUCCCUUUGACUGCUCACUUCUCCAGUGAGGCUUCAAGCUUCUAGGCAUCAAGAUUAGUAAGGCUGUCUUCUGGGUGGGCCAGUUUGUUUCUCAGUGACACGAAAACAUUGCCUGGGGUGUGCACUGGUAUUUUCCAGAAAAUAUUUCAAGCAGAAUAUACUUAUUUUCCAGUUUUGAAAACAACUAGAUUGCCCAUCUCCAUUUCUCUCUAUCAUCUACUGUAUUAUUCUAUGGACAACUGCCACCCUAAUAAGCUCAAAGGAAACCAUGAGAGACUGUCUAACUAGACUUUUUGCUUGAUUUCCUGGACCCAAGAGCAGGAGUGAGGAGCUUUCUCCUGGUAAUUUUGUUAUAGAGCAAUCAAUGAGCUUGCUUCCUCAUGCACAUGGAGGCCAACACCAUGACAAAGGCUUUUGAGAAAAGAAAAGCUUUAUGGAGACCUGACUGGCAAGGAAACAGAAGAAAAUUCUCAUUUCUGUCUCUCUGAGCUGGGGUCUGGACCAGAUUUUAUAUGCAUAGGGUCAAGAAGGGAAGCCAGAAGUCAAGGCCACAGAAGACACAGGAAACAUCAUUUCCAAAGUGGGAGACAAAGCUGUUAACAGGAAAUUAUUUGUAAAGUCAAGAGCCAAGCAAAACAGAAAAAGGACAAGAAAUCUAUCACCUGUGGGUAUGAAUGGUUCUAGGGAAGUCUGUUGACAAUUGGAGGGUCUCAAAGGCGCUUUAUGGUACUUAUUUUAUGACCCUGAGUCUGGAGUCUGAUGAAUUAAAGAGGAAAUUCUGCUCUGGGCAACAUUUAAGAGAUAGUAUCUCCAGGCAGUAACUUUCGUAUUAACUCUCAUAAGAUUGAUGCCAUUCUGUCAUCUAAAGUGUGGACAAAAGUAGCAUUAAAGCAAAAUGAAA